GCGCGAGCACCUGGCGUGUGGAACGGACGAGGCCGUCCAGAGCCAGCACAGGAGCCGAGCGUGUUGUCCGCCCGCUGCCCGCCGCUAGGGGAGGGGAAGAAAAAAGGGACGGACCGACGGACCGGCCGGCUUAUCCCCUCCGGGGUUGAUCCUCACCGCCGGGUCCGAGCCCGUGCCCCGCCUCCAGCGAGCCCCACCUCCUCCGCGGGCCUGCGGCGGCGGCGGCGCUCCGCCCCUCGAGCCGGGAGGGCCGCGUUCACUGCCCCGCCCCGCCCCGCCCCCUCUCCUGCUCCGCUGCCGUGCUCGCCUCACGCCGGCGGCGCGGACUGGGAAGCGGCGCCCUCGGCUGCGCUCGGUUCGGAACCCGCUCUGUGGAGUCAGAGGCAGCGACGGGCGCCAGGCCGCCCGGGCCGGCGGAGGCGGCCG
Molecule: long non-coding RNA, 426 nt
Filed under: Rattus norvegicus (Norway rat)
Lineage: Eukaryota; Metazoa; Chordata; Mammalia; Rodentia; Muridae
Description: long non-coding RNA NONRATT014929
Source: RNAcentral